GGCUGGUGUGAGUGCAGUGAUGUUUACACCUAACUGAUCACAACCAGUUAAAGAUUCCUUUGUUCUUUCUUCACUCCUACUGCUUCAGUUGGCUAUCCUUAA
This 102-nucleotide Y RNA is filed under the name Aotus nancymaae (Ma's night monkey). RNAcentral describes it as "Y RNA (ENSANAG00000004189.1)". It matches the Rfam family "Y RNA". From Rfam's summary of the family: Y RNAs are components of the Ro ribonucleoprotein particle (Ro RNP), in association with Ro60 and La proteins. The Y RNAs and Ro60 and La proteins are well conserved, but the function of the Ro RNP is not known. Lineage: Eukaryota; Metazoa; Chordata; Mammalia; Primates; Aotidae. The record is from Rfam by way of RNAcentral.